GGAUGUGAGGGCAAUCUUGUCGUGACAUCUAUCACCCCCAUUAAUCACCAGGGUUUGUCCCUGGUGAUUUCCCUUAUGCUUCCCUUAUGCUCUAUAUAUGUUCCUCCCAAAAGAGAACCAUUUCCUCAGCCAAGGGUAUAUGAGAAGCUGCACACCCCUGCUAGAAUUGCCAAACAAACUCUCAAACAGUGAUCUCCUGCCUCAGCCUCUGGACUAUUGGUAUUAAAUGCCUGUGUCACCACACUCAGCCAUGAAGGAUUAACUACACUACUAGCGAAGCAAAGUGAUGGCUGUUUUUUUUU
Cavia porcellus (domestic guinea pig) is the source of this 302-nucleotide unclassified non-coding RNA. Its record names the gene 7SK. It matches the Rfam family "7SK RNA". From Rfam's summary of the family: 7SK was discovered as an abundant small nuclear RNA in the mid-70s but a possible function has only recently been suggested. Two independent studies have found that 7SK RNA binds the CDK9/cyclin T complex (known as elongation factor P-TEFb). The record is from Ensembl. Lineage: Eukaryota; Metazoa; Chordata; Mammalia; Rodentia; Caviidae.